GAGAGAGGCCUGCCUGCAACUGAGGUUGCUAACCUUCGUACCCCAGGUUGAAAUCCUGGGCUCUUCUCG
RNAcentral lists this transfer RNA (69 nucleotides) under Macropharyngodon negrosensis (yellowspotted wrasse). RNAcentral's name for it is "tRNA-Ser". Lineage: Eukaryota; Metazoa; Chordata; Actinopteri; Labriformes; Labridae. The record is from RNAcentral.